AAAUAAAUCAACGAAUUAGUGAUUUUUCUGUGUUGAAAGCCGAAAUGCGCGAAACUUGCACACCCCGCUUCCCUCAUAAAUCAUCAAACAAAUUAGCGAGGAAAAGAGUUUUGAUGAAUUACUGAGAAGAAAG
Non-coding RNA from Caenorhabditis elegans, 133 nucleotides. The record is from Ensembl. Lineage: Eukaryota; Metazoa; Nematoda; Chromadorea; Rhabditida; Rhabditidae.